AAUUUGCUUUAUUUUAUUUGUGGCAUGUAUUGUAUAUUGGAUACCGUUAAGGACCAAUAGAACACCUUUGGAAACUUAUGCUGGUACCCACCCAGCACCAGACGUCAUUCGGACAUCGUUUUUUUUUUUUUUUUUUGCUAAAUCUCGGCCCGUCAUGGCCUUCUUUUAGAUCAAAAAUUGACGUUGAAAGUUGGUUUUUGCUUGUUUCGUCGGAUUUGGUCCAAAUUUUGCCCUAAACUCAGCAAUGGUCUUUGUUUUGUCUUUAUGAUUUGGUUCCAAUAUAGCCCCAAAAUCUAUGUUUAAUAUUAGGUUUUGUUUGGUCCAUCUGAUUUGGUCCAAAUUUAGGCCAAAAUAAAUGUUGAAAUAACAGUGAAAUUCUGCGUGACUUCUACGUGCUGUAAUGGGCGCGCGCGCUGAACUGGAGCGGAGGACGUCACCAUGGAAACGAGGCGGCAGCCCAACCGUCAAGCAGCUGAACGCUGACUCUCAAUGUGGUUUUCACUAUUGUUUUUUUAGGUUCUUCCAUGCUGAUGGCUGUGCUCUAGAGUCAUAUCUCCUGUCGAAGAACAUUUUUAGACAUUAUGAACCAUGAAAAAGUUUAGCUCCAACCCCAGUUAAGCAGCUGAUCAAGGAUCACCAGAAACUCUGCAGAACGUUGGUCCUCCAGCCCAGGACUGGACACCAGUGUUAGUGUCUGUCUCAGAAGCUGAAGAAAAGAGGCCACACCUCAGAGGAAAUAAGCGCCCC
Molecule: long non-coding RNA, 747 nt
Organism: Cyprinus carpio (common carp)
Lineage: Eukaryota; Metazoa; Chordata; Actinopteri; Cypriniformes; Cyprinidae
Exons: 4
Source: RefSeq, a predicted model, not a curated record